Molecule: ribosomal RNA, 611 nt
Filed under: uncultured bacterium
Lineage: Bacteria
Description: bacterial SSU rRNA
Rfam family: Bacterial small subunit ribosomal RNA (bases 1-522)
Source: RNAcentral
CCUACGGGAGGCAGCAGUGGGGAAUAUUGGGCAAUGGGCGAAAGCCUGACCCAGCGACGCCGCGUGAGGGACGAAGGCCUUCGGGUUGUAAACCUCUUUCAGCAGGGAAGAAGCGAAAGUGACGGUACCUGCAGAAGAAGCACCGGCUAACUACGUGCCAGCAGCCGCGGUAAUACGUAGGGUGCAAGCGUUGUCCGGAAUUAUUGGGCGUAAAGAGCUCGUAGGUGGUUUGCCACGUCGGAUGUGAAAACCUGAGGCUUAACCUCAGGCCUGCAUUCGAUACGGGCAGACUAGAGUGUGGUAGGGGAGACUGGAAUUCCUGGUGUAGCGGUGAAAUGCGCAGAUAUCAGGAGGAACACCGGUGGCGAAGGCGGGUCUCUGGGCCAUAACUGACACUGAGGAGCGAAAGCGUGGGGAGCAAACAGGAUUAGAUACCCUGGUAGUCCACGCCGUAAACGGUGGGCACUAGAUGUGGGGACCUUCCACGGUCUCUGCGUCGCNGCUACGCAUAAGUCGCCCGCCGUCGGGAGGUACGGCCGGCGACGGACGUAAACCUACAAAGGAAGUUAGACGGCGUGAGACGUGCCGACGGACGACGACGAGGGAGUAGG